This 506-nucleotide ribosomal RNA is filed under the name uncultured bacterium. Its description in RNAcentral is "partial 16S ribosomal RNA". It matches the Rfam family "Bacterial small subunit ribosomal RNA", at positions 30 to 523 of the family's 1533-position model. The record is from RNAcentral.
AUUGAACGCUGGCGGCAGGCCUAACACAUGCAAGUCGAACGGUAACAGGAAGCAGCUUGCUGCUUCGCUGACGAGUGGCGGACGGGUGAGUAAUGUCUGGGAAACUGCCUGAUGGAGGGGGAUAACUACUGGAAACGGUAGCUAAUACCGCAUAACGUCGCAAGACCAAAGAGGGGGGCCUUCGGGCCUCUUGCCAUCGGAUGUGCCCAGAUGGGAUUAGCUAGUAGGUGGGGUAACGGCUCACCUAGGCGACGAUCCCUAGCUGGUCUGAGAGGAUGACCAGCCACACUGGAACUGGGACACGGUCCAGACUCCUACGGGAGGCAGCAGUGGGGAAUAUUGCACAAUGGGCGCAAGCCUGAUGCAGCCAUGCCGCGUGUAUGAAGAAGGCCUUCGGGUUGUAAAGUACUUUCAGCGGGGAGGAAGGGAGUAAAGUUAAUACCUUUGCUCAUUGACGUUACCCGCAGAAGAAGCACCGGCUAACUCCGUGCCAGCAGCCGCCGUAA